RNAcentral lists this transfer RNA (77 nucleotides) under Lentisphaeria bacterium. Its description in RNAcentral is "tRNA-Val". It matches the Rfam family "tRNA". From Rfam's summary of the family: Transfer RNA (tRNA) molecules are approximately 80 nucleotides in length. Lineage: Bacteria; Pseudomonadati; Lentisphaerota; Lentisphaeria. The record is from RNAcentral.
GGGUGUAUAGCUCAGUUGGUUAGAGCGUCACGUUGACAUCGUGAAGGUCACUGGUUCGAAUCCAGUUAUACCCACCA